RNAcentral lists this non-coding RNA (82 nucleotides) under human gut metagenome. RNAcentral's name for it is "S10-Clostridia ribosomal protein leader". It matches the Rfam family "S10-Clostridia ribosomal protein leader". RNAcentral also lists the same sequence under 1 other name. The record is from RNAcentral.
UGAUAGCGUUGAAGCGUGAGGUUGCUGCCAGUGAUGGCAGGUUUUCCGUGGAGCGAAUGUCAAGUUAGGAAACUGGCGACAA